Molecule: ribosomal RNA, 428 nt
Filed under: Bacteroidota bacterium
Lineage: Bacteria; Pseudomonadati; Bacteroidota
Description: Bacteroidetes bacterium partial 16S ribosomal RNA
Rfam family: Bacterial small subunit ribosomal RNA
Source: RNAcentral
UAGGGAAUCUUCCGCAAUGGACGCAAGUCUGACGGAGCAACGCCGCGUGAGUGAAGAAGGAUUUCGGUUCGUAAAACUCUGUUGUUAGAGAAGAACAGCGCAUAGAGUAACUGUUAUGCGUGUGACGGUAUCUAACCAGAAAGCCACGGCUAACUACGUGCCAGCAGCCGCGGUAAUACGUAGGGGGCUAGCGUUGUCCGGAAUCACUGGGCGUAAAGGGUUCGCAGGCGGAAAUGCAAGUCAGGUGUAAAAGGCAGUAGCUUAACUACUGUAAGCAUUUGAAACUGCAUAUCUUGAGAAGAGUAGAGGUAAGUGGAAUUUUUAGUGUAGCGGUGAAAUGCGUAGAUAUUAAAAAGAAUACCGGUGGCGAAGGCGACUUACUGGGCUCAUUCUGACGCUGAGGAACGAAAGCGUGGGUAGCAAACAGG